This 460-nucleotide ribosomal RNA is filed under the name uncultured bacterium. Its description in RNAcentral is "partial 16S ribosomal RNA". It matches the Rfam family "Bacterial small subunit ribosomal RNA", at positions 338 to 795 of the family's 1533-position model. The record is from RNAcentral.
CCUACGGGCGGCUGCAGUGAGGAAUAUUGGUCAAUGGGCGCAAGUCUGAACCAGCCAUGCCGCGUGAAGGAUGACGGCUCUAUGGGUUGUAAACUGCUUUUAUACAGGAGUACACAUGAAUACGUGUAUUCAACUGUCAGUACUUUACGACUAGGGAUCGGCUAACUCCGUGCCAGCAGCCGCGGUAAUACGGAGGAUCCAAGCGUUAUCCGGAUUUAUUGGGUUUAAAGGGAGCGUAGGCGGAUUGUUAAGUUAGAGGUGAAAUUUCUGAGCUUAACCGUGGAAUUGCAUUUAAUACUGGUAGUCUUGAGUAUAGAUGAGGUAGGCGGAAUGCAUGGUGUAGCGGUGAAAUGCUUAGAGAGCACAAAGAACACCGAUUGCGAAGGCAGCUGACUAAUCUACAACUGACGUUGAGGCACGAAAGUGUGGGGAGCAAACAGGAUUAGAUACCCGUGUAGUC